RNAcentral lists this unclassified non-coding RNA (313 nucleotides) under plant metagenome. RNAcentral's name for it is "partial contains 5.8S ribosomal RNA, internal transcribed spacer 2, and large subunit ribosomal RNA". The stretch from base 1 to 105 matches the Rfam family "5.8S ribosomal RNA", at positions 50 to 154 of the family's 154-position model. The record is from RNAcentral.
GAAAUGCGAUACGUAGUGUGAAUUGCAGAAUUCAGUGAAUCAUCGAAUCUUUGAACGCACAUUGCGCCCUUUGGUAUUCCAAAGGGCAUGCCUGUUCGAGUGUCAUUUGUACCCUCAAGCUUUGCUUGGUGUUGGGCGUUUUUUGUCUUUGGCUCGCCCAAAGACUCGCCUUAAAACGAUUGGCAGCCGGCCUACUGGUUUCGCAGCGCAGCACAUUUUUGCGCUUGCAAUCAGCAAAAGAGGACGGCAAUCCAUCAAGACUCCUUCUCACGUUUGACCUCGGAUCAGGUAGGGAUACCCGCUGAACUUAAGC